This 456-nucleotide small RNA is filed under the name Pan troglodytes (chimpanzee). RNAcentral describes it as "processed transcript". The record is from RNAcentral. Lineage: Eukaryota; Metazoa; Chordata; Mammalia; Primates; Hominidae.
CAAGGGGACUCCGUGCAACCAUGCCCCAUCUGUAAAGAAGAAUUCGAGCUUCGUCCUCAGGUGCUGCUUUCAUGCUCCCAUGUGUUCCACAAAGCAUGUCUUCAGGCUUUUGAAAAGUUCACAAAUAAGAAAACCUGUCCUCUCUGUAGAAAGAACCAGUAUCAAACCCGAGUGAUACACGAUGGGGCCCGCCUGUUCAGAAUCAAGUGUGUGACCAGAAUCCAAGCCUACUGGAGAGGAUAUGUUGUUAGAAAGUGGUACAGAAACCUGAGGAAAACAGUACCUCCCACAGAUGCCAAGUUAAGAAAAAAAUUCUUUGAAAAAAAGACACAAGACUGGAAACCAGCUUAAUUUUUCCCAUCUCCUGGGCUAUAUGUAAAUGAAGACAUCUGCUGCACAUCUCAUAGUAAUGAAAAUAGAAGCUGCCUAUAAAAAUAAAGCCCCCACAUGCUACCA